Phoenix dactylifera (date palm) is the source of this 691-nucleotide non-coding RNA. The record is from RefSeq and is a predicted model, not a curated record. NCBI's taxonomy places the organism in Eukaryota, Viridiplantae, Streptophyta, Magnoliopsida, Arecales, Arecaceae.
UCGUCUCGUUCCCUCUUUCUCCCUUAUAUCCCAUACACGGUAGCUCUUUCUCUCGCUUCUCUUUUCUCCAUCCCUCUCUUCUGCCAUGGCCACGGCUUUCGGCCUCCGCGGGUUCCCUUUGUUGCCCGCCAACGCCCUCAGUUCCCAAUUCAAAUUCGGGCGGGAAAGGAGGGCGGCAGUUUUGGCGCGAAGCUCGAACGUGCAAGAGCCGCGCCCGACCAACGUUCAACCCCCUGUAAAAGAAAAGAAUCCAUUCCCAGGGAAGCUGGAAGCUGAUGUUGUUGUCAUUGGAAGUGUAUUGGUGGACUAUGUUGUGCUGGACUUUUAGCUAGAUACGGGCAGAAUGUUCUUGUGUUAGAAAGUCAUGAUCUUCCUGGAGGUGCUGCUCAUUCAUUUGAAUAAAGGGUUACAAAUUUGACUCAGGCCCAUCUCUGUUUUCUGGAUUUCAGUCAAGAGUCCCCAGGCUAAUCCUCUUGCACAGGUUCUUGAUGCAUUGGGUGAGUCAGUUCCGUGUGCAUCCUAUGACUCAUGGAUGGUGUACAUACCUGAAGGCGAGUUCUUGUCACGAAUAGCCCCACAGAGUUUCUCAAGUGAUAGUGCAGUACUCAAUGUUCUUCACCUUAUUGCCUUUUAUUUUCUCAAAAGAGAAGCUCAUCCAAAGCUUAGCACUCCCCCCUCUUUUAUGGUAAUU